RNAcentral lists this ribosomal RNA (441 nucleotides) under uncultured bacterium. RNAcentral describes it as "partial 16S ribosomal RNA". It matches the Rfam family "Bacterial small subunit ribosomal RNA", at positions 338 to 795 of the family's 1533-position model. The record is from RNAcentral.
CCUACGGGCGGCAGCAGUGGGGAAUAUUGCACAAUGGGGGAAACCCUGAUGCAGCGACGCCGCGUGAGUGAAGAAGUAUUUCGGUAUGUUAAGCUCUAUCAGUAGGGAAGAAGAAAGACGGUACCUGACUAAGAAGCCCCUGCUAACUACGUGCCAGCAGCCGCGGUAAUACGUAGGGGGCAAGCGUUAUCCGGAUUUACUGGGUUUAAAGGGAGCGUAGACGGCUGUGCAAGUCUGAAGUGAAAGCCCAGGGCUCAACCCUGGGACUGCUUUGGAAACUGGGGGGCUAGAGUGCUGGAGAGGUAAGUGGAAUUCGUGGUGUAGCGGUGAAAUGCGUAGAUAUUAGGAAGAACACCGGUGGCGAAGGCAGCUUACUGGACAGUAACUGACGUUGAGGCUCGAAAGCGUGGGGAGCAAACAGGAUUAGAUACCCUUGUAGUC